AUACGCAGGGUGCAAGCGUUACUCGGAAUCACUGGGCGUAAAGCGCGCGCAGGCGGGCUGAUAAGUUGGAUGUGAAAGCCUACGGCUCAACCGUAGAACUGCAUCCAAAACUGUCAGUCUAGAGUGUGGGAGAGGAAGAUGGAAUUAGUUGUGUAGGGGUAAAAUCCGUAGAGAUAACUAGGAAUACCAAAAGCGAAGGCGAUCUUCUGGAACAGUACUGGCGCUGAGGCGCGAAAGCGUGGGGAGCAAACAGGAUUAGAAACCCCUGUAGUCC
Molecule: ribosomal RNA, 274 nt
Filed under: uncultured bacterium
Lineage: Bacteria
Description: partial 16S ribosomal RNA
Rfam family: Bacterial small subunit ribosomal RNA
Source: RNAcentral